UACGGAGGGUGCAAGCGUUGCUCGGAAUUAUUGGGCGUAAAGGGCAGGUAGGUUGUCUCGUUUGUCUUAGGUGAAAUCCCUGGGCUUAACCCAGGAAGUGCCUUGGGAACGGCGAGACUAGAGUCCUGGAGAGGGUCGUAGAAUUCCCGGUGUAGCGGUGAAAUGCGUAGAGAUCGGGAGGAAUACCAGAGGCGAAGGCGGCGACCUGGACAGGCACUGACACUCAACUGCGAAAGCGUGGGGAGCAAACAGG
RNAcentral lists this ribosomal RNA (253 nucleotides) under uncultured bacterium. Its description in RNAcentral is "partial 16S ribosomal RNA". It matches the Rfam family "Bacterial small subunit ribosomal RNA", at positions 524 to 776 of the family's 1533-position model. The record is from RNAcentral.